AUUGAACGCUGGCGGAAUGCUUUACACAUGCAAGUCGAGCGGCAGCGCGGGGCAACCUGGCGGCGAGCGGCGAACGGGUGAGUAAUGCAUCGGAACAUGUCCAUGGAUGGGGGAUAGCCCGGCGAAAGCCGGAUUAAUACCGCAUGAGCCCGAGAGGGGAAAGUGGGGGACCGCAAGGCCUCACGUCGAUGGGUUGGCCGAUGCCCGAUUAGCUAGUUGGUGAGGUAAUGGCUCACCAAGGCGAUGAUCGGUAGCUGCUCUGAGAGGAUGAGCGGCCACACUGGGAAUGAGACGCGGCGCAGACUCCUACGGGAGGCAGCAGUGGGGAAUUUUGGACAAUGAGGGCAACCAUGAUCCAGCCAUUCCGCGUGAGCGAAGCAGGCCUGCAGGUUGUAAAGCUCUUUUGUCCGGAGCGAAACGGGGCGCGUGAAUAUCGCGCUCUACUGACGGUACCGGAAGAAUAAGCACCGGCUAACUACGUGCCAGCCGCCGCCGUAA
Molecule: ribosomal RNA, 498 nt
Filed under: uncultured bacterium
Lineage: Bacteria
Description: partial 16S ribosomal RNA
Rfam family: Bacterial small subunit ribosomal RNA
Source: RNAcentral